Molecule: ribosomal RNA, 438 nt
Filed under: uncultured bacterium
Lineage: Bacteria
Description: partial 16S ribosomal RNA
Rfam family: Bacterial small subunit ribosomal RNA
Source: RNAcentral
CUACGGGAGGCUCCAGUGAGGAAUAUUGCACAAUGGGGGGAACCCUGAUGCAGCAACGCCGCGUGGAGGAUGACGCAUUUCGGUGUGUAAACUCCUUUUAUAUGUCAAGAAAAUGACGGUAGCAUAUGAAUAAGCGCCGGCUAACUCCGUGCCAGCAGCCGCGGUAAUACGGAGGGGCAAGCGUUACUCGGAAUCACUGGGCGUAGAGGACGCGUAGGCGGGUUGAAAAGUCAGGUGUGAAAGCCUACAGCUUAACUGUAGAACUGCACUUGAAACUCUCAAUCUAGAGUAUGGGAGGGGCAGAUGGAAUUAGUGGUGUAGGGGUAAAAUCCGUAGAUAUCACUAGGAAUACCUAAAGCGAAGGCGAUCUGCUGGAACAUUACUGACGCUAAGGCGUGAAAGCGUGGGGAGCAAACAGGAUUAGAUACCCUGGUAGUC